GUCCUGGUUCUUCCUGGUGCUCAUGCCUGGGGUCAGGUUCCGGUUGGCUCUUCUCGCUCCUGUCCUCAACUCGAGCCCUGAGGCUGAGGCCUGCUUCCUCCUUGGACCCCAUCAACGUCUCAGGGAUGCCACCUCUAGACGACCUUCACAGGGGGCAGCUUGCCCAGACACCCUGGCCGGUGGCCUCGGUCGCUGCCUGCCUUCUGCCUCCAGGAGCCCCCAGGAACCACAUUCUUCCUGGGACUGGGUCGCAUAGUGGACACGGCGACUUAUGUCGAAGGGAAUUCUGACACCUGCUGCAAGAUGGGUGGGCCUUGAGGACACUAUGCUGAGUGACACAGAAGAAAGGUCCGAACCAAACGAAAGCACCAGGAGGCAUUUGCAGAGCCCGAGAGCAGACGAGUGCUUGAGGAGACUGGCAGAGGGGACUUCGUGGGAUGAGGACAAGGCUCUCAAGCUGAACUGUGUUGGAUUUCGUG
Molecule: long non-coding RNA, 479 nt
Organism: Ailuropoda melanoleuca (giant panda)
Lineage: Eukaryota; Metazoa; Chordata; Mammalia; Carnivora; Ursidae
Exons: 3
Source: RefSeq, a predicted model, not a curated record